CUGACUUGAAUCCCAUUGAGCACGUGUG
This 28-nucleotide small RNA is filed under the name Bombyx mori (domestic silkworm). Its description in RNAcentral is "ovarian small RNA-2647". Lineage: Eukaryota; Metazoa; Arthropoda; Insecta; Lepidoptera; Bombycidae. The record is from RNAcentral.